CAGUCGCCGCGGGAAUACAGAGGGUGCAAGCGUUAAUCGGAAUUACUGGGCGUAAAGCGCGCGUAGGUGGUUCGUUAAGUUGGAUGUGAAAUCCCCGGGCUCAACCUGGGAACUGCAUCCAAAACUGGCGAGCUAGAGUAGGGCAGAGGGUGGUGGAAUUUCCUGUGUAGCGGUGAAAUGCGUAGAUAUAGGAAGGAACACCAGUGGCGAAGGCGACCACCUGGGCUCAUACUGACACUGAGGUGCGAAAGCGUGGGGAGCAAACAGGAUUAGAUACCCCGGUAGUCCCUGUCUCUUAUAC
Molecule: ribosomal RNA, 301 nt
Filed under: uncultured bacterium
Lineage: Bacteria
Description: partial 16S ribosomal RNA
Rfam family: Bacterial small subunit ribosomal RNA
Source: RNAcentral